Molecule: ribosomal RNA, 460 nt
Filed under: uncultured bacterium
Lineage: Bacteria
Description: partial 16S ribosomal RNA
Rfam family: Bacterial small subunit ribosomal RNA
Source: RNAcentral
CCUACGGGAGGCAGCAGUGAGGAAUAUUGGUCAAUGGCCGGAAGGCUGAACCAGCCAUGCCGCGUGAAGGUCAGUGCCCUAUGGGCGUUAAACCUCUUUUGUGCGGGAGCAAUAAUGGUCACGUGUGGCCAGACGAGAGUACCGUACGAAUAGGCAUCGGCUAACCCCGUGCCAGCAGCCGCGGUAAUACGGGGGAUGCAAGCGUUAUCCGGAUUUAUUGGGUUUAAAGGGUGCGUAGGCUGUGAGGUAAGUCAGCGGUGAAAUGCCCCCGCUCAACGGGGUGAAUUGCCAUUGAUACUGGCUUGCUGGAGUGCGGAUGACGUGGGAGGAAUGUGUGGUGUAGCGGUGAAAUGCAUAGAUAUCACACAGAACACCGAUUGCGAAGGCAUCUCACGAAUCCGCGAUUGACGCUGAUGCACGAAAGCGUGGGUAUCAAACAGGAUUAGAUACCCGGGUAGUC